UAUUUCAGUCAGUAAGUUGUGCUGCUCUAUAUAAACGAGCACAAUCUGCAGUUGCUUGGGCAUCAUCAACUGGUGAUUGACAGUAUUGACAGUAUGCCAGCAUUUGGGAGUCCUAUCUUUUACAGUUAGAAUCAUGGCCUCCUGUUUAAUCUUUACAUGACAAAAGUUACUUUCUACAUUUUUUUGUUUUCCCUGCUCUACUGAAAACAUACAGAAUCCUAACCAAUGACUGUAAAGUUUGUGUGUCGUUACACCCCUACUAGUGAACUAUUGGCCCAUAUGUACACAAUCAUUUGUAUCUCCUAAAAUAUUUCUGUUUAUUUCUGAAAGAUGGAUGAGUUUGUGAAGGCAAAACUUCUGGAAUGGAACCUGGCUGAAUUGCUCCCUGCUUUUGAAGGAUGCAUGGUUCACACCAGGGAGGAGGCAUAAACCAGCAACAGGGUUUCUCGAGGAGCGCCUCCGCAAUGUCCGCAAAAGGCUCCGCACUGGCAGGCGGGGUCAUUCAGCACUCCAAGUGCCACAUGAAGUGCCUCAAGUAAUUUUGCCAGAACCAACAAUAACUCCAGAGCGGGCCAUCCAGUUAACUGAAUGGUUGAAAAACAACAUCUGGCCACCAUCCCAGGUUGGCCAACACAUGCUGGAGACCGCCACCCAUAGAGCACAGUGGAUAAGGUCAAACGGGACAACUCCAGUCAAAGAUAUAAUCGCAGAGUUUCCGCGCUUGGUGGACACUCCAGACAUGGUGAGCUUACA
Epinephelus fuscoguttatus (brown-marbled grouper) is the source of this 753-nucleotide long non-coding RNA. RefSeq lists it as uncharacterized. Lineage: Eukaryota; Metazoa; Chordata; Actinopteri; Perciformes; Serranidae. The record is from RefSeq and is a predicted model, not a curated record. The transcript has 3 exons.